UGCGGAUUAGAGCAGAGGAAGCUCGCCGGCCUCAUAAGCCGGAGGACGCUGGUUCGAAUCCAGCAUCCGCAA
Molecule: transfer RNA, 72 nt
Filed under: Caudoviricetes sp.
Lineage: Duplodnaviria; Heunggongvirae; Uroviricota; Caudoviricetes
Description: tRNA-Met
Rfam family: tRNA
About the family: Transfer RNA (tRNA) molecules are approximately 80 nucleotides in length. Their secondary structure includes four short double-helical elements and three loops (D, anti-codon, and T loops).
Source: RNAcentral